This 468-nucleotide ribosomal RNA is filed under the name uncultured bacterium. Its description in RNAcentral is "partial 16S ribosomal RNA". It matches the Rfam family "Bacterial small subunit ribosomal RNA", at positions 28 to 507 of the family's 1533-position model. The record is from RNAcentral.
GACGAACGCUGGCGGCGUGCUUAACACAUGCAAGUCGAACGGAAAGGCCCUGCUUUUGUGGGUCGCUCGAGUGGCGAACGGGUGAGUAACACGCGAGUAACCUGCCCUUGACUUUGGGAUAACUUCAGGAAACUGGGGCUAAUAUCGGAUAGGAGCUCCUGCUGCAUGGUGGGGUUUGGAAAGUUUCGGCGGUUGGGGAUGGACUCGCGGCUUAUCAGCUUGUUGGUGGGGUAGUGGCUUACCAAGGCUUUGACGGGUAGCCGGCCUGGGAGGGUGACCGGCCACAUUGGGACUGAGGUAGGGCCCAGACUCCUACGGGAGGCAGCAGUGGGAAAUAUUGCGCAAUGGGCGGAAGCCUGAUACAGCGACGCCGGGUGCGGGAUGACGGCCUUCGGGUUGUAAACCGCUUUCGCCUGUGACGAGGCGAGAGUGACGGUAAUGGGUAAAGAAGCACCGGCUAACUACGUG